AACAGAAGCUUAGUUAAUGUAGGUCAAUAAUAUUCUUAUCGAGGAAAGCAUAAGAAUAGUGAAAACAACCAUUCUGCUUUCUUGGAGAAUGACACUUCAACCAAACAUUAAUUAUUUCUAGUACCGUUAGUUUUCAUGAGAGUACGUUAAAACAUAAUGUAAUGGAGAAAUUGAUGCCUAGGUUGGUUCUAAAAGCAACAAUCAUCACCGCAACAUGCUUUCCCACAGCGAAGCUUGAAAGGUUUCCCAACAAAAAAGCAGCAGCGACAGCCUGCAAAUAUCAUAAAUAUCAUGACCUUAAAAACUUGCAGAAGCAUUAGCAUUCAUAUUGACAUUAUAAGCAAGCAAAAGGACUAUAGCUUGGGGAUUAAAAACUUGCUCAAAUGUUCCCAGACGAGCACCGGCAGUCGCAUUUGCAAACAAACUAAUGGAUAACACGACUAAAAGCCACAUGAGACAAGUCAAAAUGGUUUGCCUUCUUGCCAUAGUCUCUUUUUUCUAGCUCGAAUUUGAUGACCAAGUACUUAAGCAUGCCAG
RNAcentral lists this long non-coding RNA (537 nucleotides) under Durio zibethinus. RNAcentral describes it as "long non-coding RNA (DZIB_LNC002254)". Lineage: Eukaryota; Viridiplantae; Streptophyta; Magnoliopsida; Malvales; Malvaceae. The record is from RNAcentral.